CUUUCCAGUCGUCUUAAGACUGCUGGCUAGACAUUCGCUAGUGCGCUACAAACCUCGGCGGCUACGGUAAUUUGUCUGUGGGCUUGGUGAGCGAAGGAGCCGAACAAUGCAAUGUAAUGUAACGAUUCUCCAUGGCGGGAAUGACGUUUCUGCAUACAAUCCGCUCGAAGCUACUGGACGCACUCCGCCCGGGACUAAACAAAUCAUGACGAUUUUAAUUUUAUGACUCCCUUUAUUUACCAUUUCAAUGACACAUUGUUUGCAACGGGCAAACAACGGCCUGCUACUUUCGAUCGAUAUUUGCCGGUCCGGUACGGGGCAAACACCAUCGACAGCAUCCCGAGCGCUUUUGCCGGGAGGCAAGAGUCAUCGCAUCGUCAUCGAGCUGCUGGGCUGCACGCUAAUCGGGAGCUAAUCGAUUAUUCAUGGUACCGUUGCGUUUUUUUUUUUGUUUCUGGCGGGUGAAGCGCGGUGCUGCUGCUUGUUGUUUGCCCGCCCAAUUGGAGGGAAAUGAAUUUACAUAAAUGGAAAGAGCGGGUUCCCAAUAUCUCUCUCUAUUUCUCUCUCUCUCUCUCUCUCUAUCUUUCGCUCUCUCUCUCUCUCUUUCUCUCCCUCUCUCUCUCUCUCUGCCGUUUUAUGGCAGGAUGGGUUGCACUCAUAGAUACACUGCUACCUGCAGUGGAGUGAGCAUCAGUUCAUCUGCAUCGGACUGCAGGCUAUUCGCUCGUAUUUAUGGCGAUCAGUAAAAAGAUGCAGAUCAGUAAAGACAAUAAGGAUGCAACAGUUAACAUUGACACUGGCCAUGUAUUUAUCUUGAUCCAAUCUAAGCAUGCAUAAUGUACAACUUCCGCAGCUGUCAGAAUAGCUCCGUCAGAACCUUCCAUCUCCGCACCACGGUCUUUACACUAUCGUACCUUUUUCCUUCUCCCUUUUUCCACCACUACUCAGGCCAUCAGCACCGUGUGCGUGCAGGUGAAAGGGAAUUUUUGGUUUUGCCGUUGGGGUCUUGUUGGGUCUUAUCUGCUCUCUGCGUUUUGACUCUCGAGGGGCCAACACCCUACCGCCCGCAGAGCUUGAACGGCUUGAUAGGGGUAAUGCCAUGGUUUGCAUUGAGGCUGAAAGUCCCUGACACCACGAUAGCUGCCUGUAAAGCGAGGAAAUAAUCAGCGCAACCUCCCGAGGGCAUUUGAUGUGCCAGCAGCGCCCUAAGCUUUGAACUUUAAUGUUUUUCUAGCUGAAGUAUGCGUGCGUUUGCUACCGUCAGGUAAAAAAAAAGUAGUUUAGGUUUAGUUUAACUCUUCGAAUCAAUAUUUCAUAUUACUGCACAGUAAGUUAAGUGAUUUACACUCAUAUACUUCUAGCAACGGUGGACCUCCUCUGAUAGCUCUUAUCGAAUUUUUUCAUCGGUUUGUUCAUAAAUUAGUUGUGCACAAUAUACGCACAAAACAUAGCGGCAGCAAAUACCGGUGCACUUGGAACUAUAGACAAUUGUCAAUUAUUUUCCAUAAUUUGCUCUGUCGUUUAAAAAAAAAAAGAAUUCAACCGGGUUCGUCGCUUUACUGCCGGUUGAAGUCGUUUGAUUGUAACGGGGCAAGGAAGUAGCAAUUUAACCGCUUCGCGCGCUAUAGCGCUGCUGGACACGUUCGACACUUGUUCCAUGAGUCAUUACCGCUUGCCAAAGUGCCACCCGAACGGUCACCGUCCAAUUUUGGCCACAACAAACGGGCGCUGCAGCUUGCUUUUGGGGCCCUGCGACAGUGUGCAACUCAAUUUACCCCUCAAUCACCUGUCGCUCGAUCCCGGCCAGUACUGUCCCUUCUCCUCUUCUGUGUGUGUAUGUGUGUGUGUGUACGUGCUCAUUGCGUGUGCAUCCGCUGCCACAGUGCGCGCGCGCCCGGCCUAAGCCGAUUGUCGGCUCGAGCGCGGACCCCCGACCAUCUAAGGGUGUGCGCGUCGCGCAGGAAGUCCCGCUUCCUCGGGAGCUUCUCCGGCCUGAAGCCCCCUGCCACGAUGGCAGGCAGGCGGGAUGUGCUGCAUGCUAAUCAGCACGCCGGUCAUCCGGGCGGAGCGGUCUCAUCCGGGGCCUCCCAAAAAAGGGUACACCCUCCCCGGCCGGGUCCCGUGUUUGGUGCGCGUAAUCGUAAUCGCCCGGUCCCGAAAUGGACGGCUGAAGCGCGCGCGACCCCGCAGACCUCGUACCAUUGACACCUCGCAUCAUGCGCGCGCACACACAUACGCACAGAGAUACAUUGUUUGCGCUUUGCGCCCGACGCUGGCUGCAUGCGUAACGAGGGCUCAGAGCGAGCCCAGGGCCGUGGGGUUUUGAUGGGCAGGGAGCCACGAAAAUUCGUUGAAGCAGCGUGCUUUUUGUGUGUGUGUGUGUGUUUUAUAAUUAUUCAUUCAUUUUCAUUCUUUCCUAUUGCGUUCUUUAUGAGGGCGUACGUACACCUUCCGUGCGCGUCUUCCUUUGGCCGUGUCCCCUAGUCCCUGGCCGCGAGAGCCAUUCUACAGCGGUGGGGCCGAGGAUGGUACGUGAUCCGGGUGCCAAAUAGUUGGCGGUGGUGGAUCCCUAAUCCGAUGUCUUGCUGCGUAACACCGGCACCACGGCUCAAUCAGUUUCGAGCGAGCAGCGAACCGUGAAGCAUCGGCGUCAAACAGGAUCAUCCCCUUCUGGCUAUUUGCCUCUGGUGUUACCAAAACUCUGACUGCGGAUUUAUGCCCCCGUGUGUGUGUGUGUGUGUGUGUGUGUGUGUGUGUGUAUGUGUCUGUGUCUGUGGGUGUAAAAAAAGGUUUCAAAGUUCUUGGCAAAGCGCCCCUCAAAUUGGCAACUUGGCAAGAUGUUGGCAUAGCUAAAAGAUUUGGAUUUAGCUAUUCAACUUCUUGUUUAUUUUUCCAAUUUACUUACAUCGAGAACCCGGUGGCCGUCUGUGACGGCCCGGGCAAAAGAACAUACCCCCUCCCUACCUCCCUGUCCGGAAUGUGCAACUAUCAACCACGUGUCAACUAUUCAAAACUCCCCAAGGCUGCAGCGCCAUCUAUCAGCUACCGGGGUGAAUCUCGAGGCUUGAAGCCGCAGCAGACGAAGAUUCUCCAGUACACCAAAAUGAAGCCGCCAGACAAAUGUACCGUCGACUCUUCACCGUCUCCAGCAAAACCCGCUCACCAGGGGAACGGCUACGUUACGGUAUUCGCCUCACUAACCUACUGCCAGCAGCCAGCUCCAAUUGCAGCGAAGCCCAGCCCGUUGGCGAAAGUUGACAGGUGUGCACAAGGAGCCACAUUCCACAUUCUCUUGUUGUGCCGUUCUGUGUCCCACACGAAUUCCCAAAAAAAAAAACUUUCCCAUCUGCGCUAGCGGAUGUAAAAAUUAAUGAGCUAACCUCGAAAGAACAACGCACGCGGAAAAACAGGUAUAAAUCGUGUGGUACGCGUUUCCCGCCAUUCCUCUUGGUAAUAUAUUAUUUAUGAUUUUUCAUCUAUCCGCACCGGACGCCCCAGCCGCUUAGAUGAUGGGUGUGUGUGUGUGUGUGUGAGUGUAACGGGGACGUACCGGAGCAGCAUUACGGCAAUCGGCACGAACGUCACGGUUUCCUGGUUCCAAAAUUAAGCAGCGAUUUUAAUCAACAGGUUUGGGCCGGGAGGUUUGCGGCUGAUGUGAGUGCAUUAGCUAAUAGCGGUGCGCAAAAUCGGUGGCAAACGCCUUCGUGACCCAAAUGUCCCAAGAUUCCCGCCGCCCUCCAACUAUUCCCCUGAGUUACGCUGCAUUACGGGAAGAGGACGUGCUCAAGCGACGAACCCCUUGCAGGAGGCAGCAAACCAUGAGCAAAACGUUUUUCUCGCCUUAAUAUGAUUAAUAAAAACGAUUCAACGCGAUGCUUUUUUGUGUGCGGCGACGUACGUAAAGCGCAGCCGAAACGUGGACUACUUGAGCGUGUCCUUUCAUUUUAUUUUUUUUCUGAAAGAACAAAAACACAACAAGCCUCUAAUAAAAUCUUCAAGAGCAGGUGCGCUCCAUUA
Anopheles coluzzii is the source of this 4017-nucleotide RNA transcript. RefSeq lists it as uncharacterized. The record is from RefSeq and is a predicted model, not a curated record. The transcript is spliced from 2 exons. Lineage: Eukaryota; Metazoa; Arthropoda; Insecta; Diptera; Culicidae.